This 486-nucleotide ribosomal RNA is filed under the name uncultured bacterium. RNAcentral's name for it is "partial 16S ribosomal RNA". It matches the Rfam family "Bacterial small subunit ribosomal RNA", at positions 30 to 507 of the family's 1533-position model. The record is from RNAcentral.
AUUGAACGCUGGCGGCAUGCCUUACACAUGCAAGUCGAACGGCAGCACGGGUGCUUGCACCUGGUGGCGAGUGGCGAACGGGUGAGUAAUACAUCGGAACAUGUCCCGUCGUGGGGGAUAGCCCGGCGAAAGCCGGAUUAAUACCGCAUACGAUCUACGGAUGAAAGCGGGGGCCCUUCGGGCCUCGCGCUUUAGGGUUGGCCGAUGGCUGAUUAGCUAGUUGGUGGGGUAAAGGCCUACCAAGGCGACGAUCAGUAGCUGGUCUGAGAGGACGACCAGCCACACUGGGACUGAGACACGGCCCAGACUCCUACGGGAGGCAGCAGUGGGGAAUUUUGGACAAUGGGCGAAAGCCUGAUCCAGCAAUGCCGCGUGUGUGAAGAAGGCCUUCGGGUUGUAAAGCACUUUUGUCCGGAAAGAAAACCUUGGCCCUAAUACGGUCGGGGGAUGACGGUACCGGAAGAAUAAGCACCGGCUAACUACGUG